RNAcentral lists this transfer RNA (68 nucleotides) under Anabropsis crenatis. RNAcentral's name for it is "Pteranabropsis crenatis tRNA-Cys". The record is from RNAcentral. Lineage: Eukaryota; Metazoa; Arthropoda; Insecta; Orthoptera; Anostostomatidae.
AGCUUUAUAGUCAAAAUAUGAUGUUAGACUGCAAUUCUAAAGUAGUAGUAGAGGAUCUACUAAGGCUU